GGGUUAAGUCCCGCAACGAGCGCAACCCCCUGUCCUAUGUUGCCAGCAUUAAGUUGGGGACUCAUAGGAGACUGCCGGCGUCAAGCCGGAGGAAGGUGGGGAUGACGUCAAGUCAUCAUGCCCCCUUAUGUCCUGGGCUGCACACGUGCUACAAUGGCCGGUACAAAGGGCAGCCACUUAGCGAUAAGGCGCGAAUCCCGUAAAACCUGUCUCAGUCCGGAUUGGAGUCUGCAACUCGACUCCAUGAAGUUGGAAUCGCUAGUAAUCGCAGAUCAGCACGCUGCGGUGAAUACGUUCCCGGGCCUU
This 306-nucleotide ribosomal RNA is filed under the name uncultured Desulfocapsa sp. RNAcentral's name for it is "bacterial SSU rRNA". It matches the Rfam family "Bacterial small subunit ribosomal RNA", at positions 1077 to 1382 of the family's 1533-position model. Lineage: Bacteria; Pseudomonadati; Thermodesulfobacteriota; Desulfobulbia; Desulfobulbales; Desulfocapsaceae. The record is from RNAcentral.